This 690-nucleotide ribosomal RNA is filed under the name uncultured Acidobacteriota bacterium. RNAcentral describes it as "bacterial SSU rRNA". It matches the Rfam family "Bacterial small subunit ribosomal RNA", at positions 15 to 690 of the family's 1533-position model. Lineage: Bacteria; Pseudomonadati; Acidobacteriota. The record is from RNAcentral.
GAUCCUGGCUCAGAAUCAACGCUGGCGGCGUGCCUCAGACAUGCAAGUCGUACGUGAAAGUCCUUCGGGAUGAGUAAAGUGGCGCACGGGUGAGUAACACGUGAGUUAUCUGCCUUUGGGUGGGGAAUACCAACCGGAAACGGUUGUUAAUACCGCAUAAUGCUUGCGCUGUAAUGGCGUAUGUUAAAGCGGGGGAUCAGCAAUGACCUCGCGCCUGGAGAGGAGCUCGCGGCAGAUUAGGUAGUUGGUGAGGUAAUGGCUCACCAAGCCUGCGAUCUGUAACCGGCCUGAGAGGGCGGUCGGUCACACUGACACUGACAUACGGGUCAGACUCCUACGGGAGGCAGCAGUCGGGAAUUUUGGGCAAUGGGCGAAAGCCUGACCCAGCAACGCCGCGUGAAGGAUGAAGCAUUUCGGUGUGUAAACUUCGCAAGAAUAGGAAGAAUAAGUUUGAACAAAUAAUUCAAACGAUGACGGUACUAUUUAUAAGCUCCGGCUAACUUCGUGCCAGCAGCCGCGGUAAUACGAGGGGAGCAAGCGUUGUUCGGAUUUACUGGGCGUAAAGGGUGCGUAGGCGGCACCACAAGUCACUUGUGAAAUCUUUGGGCUUAACCCAAAGCGGCCAAGUGAUACUGUGGAGCUAGAGUGCAGAAGGGGCAACUGGAAUUCCCGGUGUAGCGGUGAAAUGCG